Molecule: ribosomal RNA, 636 nt
Filed under: uncultured bacterium
Lineage: Bacteria
Description: bacterial SSU rRNA
Rfam family: Bacterial small subunit ribosomal RNA
Source: RNAcentral
UAAAGAAUUUCGGUUAUCGAUGGGGAUGCGUUCCAUUAGUUAGUUGGCGGGGUAACGGCCCACCAAGACGACGAUGGAUAGGGGUUCUGAGAGGAAGGUCCCCCACAUUGGAACUGAGACACGGUCCAAACUCCUACGGGAGGCAGCAGUGAGGAAUAUUGGUCAAUGGACGAGAGUCUGAACCAGCCAAGUAGCGUGAAGGAUGACUGCCCUAUGGGUUGUAAACUUCUUUUAUAUGGGAAUAAAACAGGGUAUGCAUACCCUCUUGUAUGUACCAUAUGAAUAAGGAUCGGCUAACUCCGUGCCAGCAGCCGCGGUAAUACGGAGGAUCCGAGCGUUAUCCGGAUUUAUUGGGUUUAAAGGGAGCGUAGGUGGAUUGUUAAGUCAGUUGUGAAAGUUUGCGGCUCAACCGUAAAAUUGCAGUUGAAACUGGCAGUCUUGAGUACAGUAGAGGUGGGCGGAAUUCGUGGUGUAGUGGUGAAAUGCUUAGAUAUCACGAAGAACUCCGAUUGCGAAGGCAGCUCACUGGACUGCAACUGACACUGAUGCUCGAAAGUGUGGGUAUCAAACAGGAUUAGAUACCCUGGUAGUCCACACAGUAAACGAUGAAUACUCGCUGUUUGCGAUAUACAGUAA